ACCGUCAUUCAAUUUAGAUUAUCUUUUUUGAUUAAUCUUUAAAAAUAUUAAAAAAAAACAAAAACCUCUUUCUAGUUAACAUUUAAAAUCUGUCGUAUAUACUUAUAGCAAAAUUAAAGUAGAUAUUUUCCCACAACUGCAGCUUCUAAAGACAUAUGUCCUUAAUCACCCAUAUAGCUAGCGGGUCAUGCCAUGAUUAACAUCAAAGGUCAUGAUUUAAAAUUGAGUCGUUCCUAUGAAUAAAAGCC
RNAcentral lists this long non-coding RNA (248 nucleotides) under Mytilus galloprovincialis (Mediterranean mussel). The record is from RNAcentral. Lineage: Eukaryota; Metazoa; Mollusca; Bivalvia; Mytilida; Mytilidae.